CGAACAUGUGAUAAGUCAACGAAGAGGCUCAGCGAAACAUUUUUGUUGUAGUGGAGCUAGGUACGAGGAACAAGACUACUCAAGUAGAUGAAAGAAAAAAUCAAGAUUUUUGCUUAUUUGCGUUACGUUGCUAACGUCAAGCUGCUGGCUUCAAGUCUUGAGCUUCUGGAUUUGUUGUCAAAAGGUGCUGUUUCAUAAUGUAUUUGAGCCUGUCAACUGGGUUUUUGAUGUUUGAAUAAUUUAUUCUCAUACGAUGCAAAUCGUGGUGAAUAGAUUCUCCACCUUGUUCACCAUAAAAACCUAAGCCCGUUCUCCACUUGUUUACAAAAUCCAAUACAUGGUCUUCUAGUAUGUGCAGCUUUGGACUGAUGUAUAUUGAAGGCCAAUUAACUCUUAAAUAACACAUGAACUGAUUGAUAGAUGUCUCUAAAAGUUGGUUAAACAAAUUUUAUAAAUUGACUUUUCUACUUUUAAGCAUUUCAUAAAAAUCAAACUUGCAUAUUUUACCUAAAUUUGAUAACAUUUCUUGGGUCAUAAUACAUGAAGAAUUGAAUAUUGAGUGACACGAACCAUACAGCUUGAACAGUUGUUCAAACUUCUUGCAUGUUUCUUGACACUCCAGAUAUAAAACUUGAUCAUCACAUUGAUUCUGUACAAUUUCAGGAAUACGAUCACAUAAAUACUUUAUGUUGCCAUCCUAUAAUAUUGUCUACUGUUUGUUGUAAACCAAUUUGUGAAAUUAUACUUAUGCAUAAUACAAUUUCAUAUUUUUCGUUUACUUUAUCUUGUUUCAAUACAAAUUGUAUAGCAUUGUAUUGAAACAAGAUAAAGUAAACGAAAAUUUUUAUAAAUUGCAAAAAUAAAUCUAACCUUGAGCAUUUUAUGACAAUGGUUGCCAAUAAAGCUUUUUCCGUGGUACGCCUGCCUCUCAACACCAAGCUCCUGCAGUGUAUCGUCUAGGGAUGAUACGCAAGGACCAGAUCCAAUUUCCAAUUGGUACUUUUCUUUGAAUGCUUUUAUGCUUCUAUGUUUCUCCUUCAGUUCAAAUUCUAAGUUAUCCAACUCUGGUUUGUAGUUUUUUUCAAACUCAUCCUUGGUAAUUUGUUUAGAUAUAACCAUCCAGUUCAUAUGUUCCUGCUGGUUAUCAUACUCGUCCUCCAAUUCUUUUGACUCAUUUUGUAAAUUGCUAAAUAUAUACAUAUAUAUAUACAUAUAUAUAUAGAUAUGUUAUAAAGAAAUGCAGCCCAAGAUAUGAUUGGAAGUAGUAUUAAUAAUAAUAAAAAUCUAGUAAGGUGUACAUACAUUAAAAUUCUCAUAUUUGCCAUAAACUCUGCAAAUUUAAUAUUAAUUUCACCAUCAGUAGUUUGAGCAUGAAUUGUGGCAAUUCUUAAAUCAACUUCUUGACAGUAGCUUUCCAAGUUGUUGAACAUUUUUAAAUAUAUCCCAAGUGUUAGGUGGAGCCCUGGUAUAGCCACCUAUAUAAAAAGUAAUAAAAAAUAGGUUUGCUGAAUUUUCAUAACAUUGCACGAAGUACAUUAUACUUACUUGUUCUAGGGGGAUGUUAAAGAAGCAAUCAUGUAUCACAUUUUGAUAGUGUUUGGCGUUUUU
Long non-coding RNA from Hydractinia symbiolongicarpus, 1608 nucleotides. RefSeq lists it as uncharacterized. The record is from RefSeq and is a predicted model, not a curated record. The transcript has 2 exons. Lineage: Eukaryota; Metazoa; Cnidaria; Hydrozoa; Anthoathecata; Hydractiniidae.